GUGAGGAAUAUUGGUCAAUGGACGGAAGUCUGAACCAGCCAUGCCGCGUGCAGGAAUAAGGUCCUAUGGAUUGUAAACUGCUUUUAUUCGGGAAUAAACCUCUUUACGUGUAGGGAGCUGAAGGUACCGAAGGAAUAAGCACCGGCUAACUCUGUGCCAGCAGCCGCGGUAAUACGGAGGGUGCAAGCGUUAUCCGGAAUCAUUGGGUUUAAAGGGUCCGCAGGCGGGCUAUCAAGUCAGAGGUGAAAUCCCACAGCUUAACUGUGGAACUGCCUUUGAAACUGAUGGUCUUGAAUUAAGUGGGCGUUGGCGGAAUAUGACAUGUAGCGGUGAAAUGCAUAGAUAUGUCAUGGAACACCGAAAGCGAAGGCAGCUAACGAUACUUAUAUUGACGCUCAUGGACGAAAGCGUGGGUAGCGAACAGGAUUAGAAACCCCUGUAGUCC
Molecule: ribosomal RNA, 445 nt
Filed under: uncultured bacterium
Lineage: Bacteria
Description: partial 16S ribosomal RNA
Rfam family: Bacterial small subunit ribosomal RNA
Source: RNAcentral